Molecule: ribosomal RNA, 529 nt
Filed under: uncultured bacterium
Lineage: Bacteria
Description: bacterial SSU rRNA
Rfam family: Bacterial small subunit ribosomal RNA
Source: RNAcentral
AGAGUUUGAUCAUGGCUCAGAUUGAACGCUGGCGGCAGGCCUAACACAUGCAAGUCGAGCGGCAGCGGGAAAGUAGCUUGCUCCUGGGCGACGAGCGGCGGACGGGUGAGUAACGUCUGGGAAACUGCCCGAUGGAGGGGGAUAACUACUGGAAACGGUAGCUAAUACCGCAUAACGUCGCAAGACCAAAGAGGGGGACCUUCGGGCCUCUUGCCAUCGGAUGUGCCCAGAUGGGAUUAGCUAGUUGGUGAGGUAAUGGCUCACCAAGGCGACGAUCCCUAGCUGGUCUGAGAGGAUGAUCAGCCACACUGGAACUGAGACACGGUCCAGACUCCUACGGGAGGCAGCAGUGGGGAAUAUUGCACAAUGGGGGAAACCCUGAUGCAGCCAUGCCGCGUGUGUGAAGAAGGCCUUCGGGUUGUAAAGCACUUUCAGCGAGGAGGAAAGUGUUGAGGUUAAUAACCUCAGCAAUUGACGUUACCCGCAGAAGAAGCACCGGCUAACUCCGUGCCAGCCGCCGCGGUAAUAC